UCAACUUCCGUUAGUCUUGAUCUUUGCGGCGUUUUGUUUUGACCAAAAAAUAUGGCGACUUAGAAGCGCUCGAGGUCAACUCAACAAGAGCAAAAGUGGAUCAAUUACCAAAUGAUGUAGAGAUAUGCCAAGGUAUUUGACAUAUCACCCCAACAACAACAAUGGCUGACAAAUCACUUGGGUCAUACAGUAGACGUCCAUAAAAUACAUUAUAGGCAGAUCUCGGGGGUCAUUGAGCCUGUGGACAUUUCCAAACUUGUGCUGUUAACAGUGUAUGGCUUGACUGUGAAAAAUGCUUGCAGAAAAUUGACAGAUAUCACACUGGAAGCAUGAAUAAAGUGGAUGGAGGCAAAACUGAAGGAGGUGCAUGAAUAUUUCAGAGAAUGUCUGAACACAAACACCACUCCAGGAAGAAAAGAUUGCAAUAUGGCAAUAGAAAAGAACAGGGCCAAUGAAGGUACCAUACAGUAUAAGCCAUGGGAGUCCCUGAGGAAGAAAGUAUGGAGCAUAAUCCAGAAACAAAAAUUAAACCAUUUUGACAUUUUUUAUUAUAUAGGAUUAAAGCCCUACCUGUGAAAUUUUGUCACGCAGUGAUGUUUGACUCUUCCCCUGCUCUAAUUACAGUGAAUAUUUGAUUGAAUAUUUUGAUGCAGAUUUGUAGAAAAGAUUUGACAUAGUGCAUAAGUUUUUAGUUUUUAGACAAAGUAGUUUAUUAAUUGUACUUGCUGAAUUUGAGUUAAUGGUGAAUAUCACAAGUCAUUUCUUUUAUUACAGGGAAUAUAUGCAUUGUAUCUGUAUUGUACAGGAAGCUGUAUGAUUUAUUUUACAGUAGCAUGUAAUCAGUUUGAGAUUAUUUCUUUUAUAUGACAGAAGAGAAUUUUCAUUAACCUGAAGAAUGUUUGGUUUAGAAAGAUGCAUGUAUAUAAACUUUUUUAUGGAUUUUCUGUACUGUUAAUGAGAUUUUUUUAUUUUAUCAGAGCAACUGAUAGAAAAUAUGCACUCAGGGGUGGAAUCUAUUUAGCAAUGUGGCACUAGAGAAUAUAUAGCAAUUUCAUGGAUUUUCUUCUGUUGAUGAGAAUUCGUUUAAUCAUAGCAACUGAUAGCAAAUAUUUACAAUUAAGGGAUCUGAUUUAUUUAGGGCUACUUGGACCUUUUGUCAUUAAAGAGGCAUUGGCACAGAUUUGAAGCUAAUAUUUUUCAAAAUUGUCAGUAUAAUAUCAUAACUUUAAUAGCAUUUCAGACUGACAUUGUUAAAGCGUGUUAUGAAACUUCAUUUCUCAUAAAAUUAUAAAAGAAUGAAUUUUGGGUGUGUAUGAUUGCUGUACAUUCUUGCAUUUUCUCAAACUAAAAUUCAUCCUUAGUAUUUAAAAAAAGUGGAAAUUCUGUGGCAUAUCAAUAGAACAUAUUAAAACUGUAUUCAAGAAAAGUGAUAAUAAAAAUGUAGAAAGCAAAAACCGAUUCACCAGUGUUUUCGGUAAGUGUGCAGUGAUGUGUGCAAAGUUAGCAAAUCUAACAAGUCCAGUAAAAAGUAAACAAAAACAAUAACAGAGCUUGUGCCAUGUUUACA
Molecule: long non-coding RNA, 1567 nt
Organism: Saccostrea echinata
Lineage: Eukaryota; Metazoa; Mollusca; Bivalvia; Ostreida; Ostreidae
Exons: 4
Source: RefSeq, a predicted model, not a curated record